AUAGAACCGAUGACGAAGAGGAGUAAUUCAAGACCUCGUCUGCUUAGAGAGUCGCCCCUUGGCUGAAAGGGUGAUCAGAUGACCUGGAUGAAAGACCCUUCCGAGGUAUUUUCCUGAACACUGCAGUAGGGAAAAUCGUAAGCAGGCGUUAACUGCACCGAGUGGCUGAAUUUUUUCAGCAACCAGGGUGGUACCACGGGAUCUUCAAGUUCUCGUCCCUUUG
This 223-nucleotide non-coding RNA is filed under the name Exiguobacterium oxidotolerans. Its description in RNAcentral is "T-box". It matches the Rfam family "T-box leader". Rfam says of the family: Uncharged tRNA acts as the effector for transcription antitermination of genes in the T-box leader family. T-boxes are found upstream of many aminoacyl-tRNA synthetase genes and some amino acid biosynthetic genes usually in Gram-positive bacteria. The record is from RNAcentral. RNAcentral also lists the same sequence under 1 other name. Lineage: Bacteria; Bacillati; Bacillota; Bacilli; Caryophanales.